RNAcentral lists this ribosomal RNA (301 nucleotides) under uncultured bacterium. RNAcentral's name for it is "partial 16S ribosomal RNA". It matches the Rfam family "Bacterial small subunit ribosomal RNA", at positions 509 to 807 of the family's 1533-position model. The record is from RNAcentral.
CAGCCGCCGCGGGAAUACGAAGGGUGCAAGCGUUACUCGGAAUUACUGGGCGUAAAGCGUGCGUAGGUGGUGGUUUAAGUCCGUUGUGAAAGCCCUGGGCUCAACCUGGGAAUUGCAGUGGAUACUGGAUCACUAGAGUGUGGUAGAGGAUAGUGGAAUUUCCGGUGUAGCAGUGAAAUGCGUAGAGAUCGGAAGGAACAUCUGUGGCGAAGGCGACUAUUUGGGCCAACACUGACACUGAGGCACGAAAGCGUGGGGAGCAAACAGGAUUAGAUACCCGUGUAGUCCCUGUCUCUUAUAC